GACGAACGCUGGCGGCGUGCUUAACACAUGCAAGUCGAACGGAAAGGCCCUGCUUUUGUGGGGUGCUCGAGUGGCGAACGGGUGAGUAACACGUGAGUAACCUGCCCUUGACUUUGGGAUAACUUCAGGAAACUGGGGCUAAUACCGGAUAGGAGCUCCUGCUGCAUGGUGGGGGUUGGAAAUUUUCGGCGGUUGGGGAUGGACUCGCGGCUUAUCAGCUUGUUGGUGGGGUUGUGGCUUACCAAGGCUUUGACGGGUAGCCGGCCUGAGAGGGUGACCGGCCACAUUGGGACUGAGAUACGGCCCAGACUCCUACGGGAGGCAGCAGUGGGGAAUAUUGCACAAUGGGCGGAAGCCUGAUGCAGCAACGCCGCGUGCGGGAUGACGGCCUUCGGGUUGUAAACCGCUUUCGCCUGUGACGAAGCGUGAGUGACGGUAAUGGGUAAAGAAGCACCGGCUAACUACGUG
RNAcentral lists this ribosomal RNA (468 nucleotides) under uncultured bacterium. RNAcentral's name for it is "partial 16S ribosomal RNA". It matches the Rfam family "Bacterial small subunit ribosomal RNA", at positions 28 to 507 of the family's 1533-position model. The record is from RNAcentral.